CCUACGGGCGGCUGCAGUGGGGAAUAUUGGACAAUGGGGGGAACCCUGAUCCAGCCAUGCCGCGUGUGUGAAGAAGGCCCUCGGGUUGUAAAGCACUUUCAGUGAGGAAGAACGCCUGGUGGUUAAUACCCAUCAGGAAAGACAUCACUCACAGAAGAAGCACCGGCUAACUCCGUGCCAGCAGCCGCGGUAAUACGGAGGGUGCGAGCGUUAAUCGGAAUUACUGGGCGUAAAGCGCGCGUAGGUGGCUUGAUAAGCCGGUUGUGAGAGCCCCGGGCUCAACCUGGGAACGGCAUCCGGAACUGUCAAGCUAGAGUACAGGAGAGGAAGGUAGAAUUCCCGGUGUAGCGGUGAAAUGCGUAGAGAUCGGGAGGAAUACCAGUGGCGAAGGCGGCCUUCUGGACUGACACUGACACUGAGGUGCGAAAGCGUGGGUAGCAAACAGGAUUAGAUACCCCUGUAGUC
RNAcentral lists this ribosomal RNA (465 nucleotides) under Vreelandella stevensii. RNAcentral describes it as "partial 16S ribosomal RNA". It matches the Rfam family "Bacterial small subunit ribosomal RNA", at positions 338 to 795 of the family's 1533-position model. The record is from RNAcentral. Lineage: Bacteria; Pseudomonadati; Pseudomonadota; Gammaproteobacteria; Oceanospirillales; Halomonadaceae.